This 332-nucleotide unclassified non-coding RNA is filed under the name soil metagenome. RNAcentral's name for it is "partial contains 5.8S ribosomal RNA, internal transcribed spacer 2, and large subunit ribosomal RNA". The stretch from base 1 to 120 matches the Rfam family "5.8S ribosomal RNA", at positions 35 to 154 of the family's 154-position model. The record is from RNAcentral.
GAUGAAGAACGCAGCGAAAUGCGAUAAGUAGUGUGAAUUGCAGAAUUCAGAGAAUCAUCGAAUCUUUGAACGCACAUUGCGCCCUUUGGUAUUCCUUAGGGCAUGCCUGUUCGAGCGUCAUUUAAACCUUCAAGCUAAGCUUGGUGUUGGGUGACUGUCCGCCUCACGGCGGACUCGCCUCAAAAUUAUUGGCGGCCGGUACAUUGGCUUCGAGCGCAGCAGAAACGCGAACUCGGGCCCGUCGUAUUGGCUCCCAGAAGCUAUCUUCACAAUUUUGACCUCGGAUCAGGUAGGGAUACCCGCUGAACUUAAGCAUAUCAAUAAGCGGAGGA